UGCUCUCGCAUCGAACUACUUACCACCUAUCCUUUUCAGUUGGUUCACGAGCUACGAUACGCUCGAUGAUCGGUUCCGGGGCCUGUGUUGCGUACCUACCUAGAAGGUAUUGUUGAGUUUGGUUGCCUCCCUUGUGUCCGCGGCAUUUCCUAUGCGGGAGAAGUCGUGGACACGAAAACCGGCUCUUGUUUUCCUUUCGACGUUGCAUCCUUUGCCUCGUCGCAKUGGGGAAUAAGCUGCUGUUAGAAAUCUCGGAUGCGGAAAAGUUAUCGACGGUGACUCGAAGCGAUUCAGUCCCGCCAAAGCAUAUCUGUCCCUCGGACAAAAGAUGAUGGUCGUGACCUCGUUCGUUCAUUCUUUCUUUAGCGUUAGUUUGAGCGUGGCGGGGAAUCGCCGUGAUCGAUGAUUGCUACCUGGUUGAUCCUGCC
RNAcentral lists this unclassified non-coding RNA (428 nucleotides) under Neslia paniculata. RNAcentral describes it as "partial external transcribed spacer; ETS". The record is from RNAcentral. Lineage: Eukaryota; Viridiplantae; Streptophyta; Magnoliopsida; Brassicales; Brassicaceae.